Non-coding RNA from Gongylonema pulchrum, 118 nucleotides. The record is from Rfam. Lineage: Eukaryota; Metazoa; Nematoda; Chromadorea; Rhabditida; Gongylonematidae.
CUACACAAUCAAGAAAUUUCAGGUUCCGAAGACAUAUUUGGGUAUGCUGGUGGGUUCUGUAUGUGCGCUGAUGGGUGUUCUGACUAUUGCACUGCCUGUUCCUGUUAUUGUCUCCAAU